GUCUUGAUUUUCUUGGUGGUUGUCAACUGGGGCCCACUCUCAGCCACUAGAGGCCAGUCUGAGGUCCUUGCCCCAUGGCUCCCUUCCAUCUGGGUGUUAUUUUAAGUCUCCAAGUUUUUUGUUAUGCAGCUGUAAAAAAUCAAUACAAUCAAGAAUCUUCACCAGAAGAAGUUUCCAUCUCAAGAAACUACUUUCCUUGCUGAUCUGUAAGAAACAACUCUUCAUAGGUAGAAUAUUGUGAUGGGUGCUGUGCAAGAAGAAGGAAGGAAGAAGGAAGCUGAGUGUGCAGCAAAGACACCUGCAGGGACACAUAGAACCAGGCAUUUGCUGAAGGACACCUGGAUUGCACAACCAGCGGCUAACUUGCAUGAAAAAAACAUUCUAGAGUCUGGAGUUGGUUCUGUUGGCCAUCAAUUUCCUGUGGUGCAGAGGUGCUGCAAGUACAAUACAGAUUAAACUCUCUGCAGGAAGUCUCUUAUGGAGACGGGCUCUUGCUGUGUUGUCCAGGCUGUUCUCAAACUCCUGGCCCAGCUUCCCAUUGGGGAUGACAGAGCUGGUGCUCAGGUAAUCAACAUCCUGCUGAGCCUAUGAGAAAGCAUUUGGGACAACUUGACAAUGCAUGGUGUGAAGUUUAAGAAAUCUUGUUCACACAAAUAGGACUAUCUGAACGAAAUGGGACCCCCAUCUCCUGCCACUUCUGGAGAACAAACAACCCAGUGAUUUACCCAUCAUCACUGUCCAGAUCAUUGCACAGGGUGGGUUUAUAUGAUCUGCCCACCCUGAAAACGUGGCUAAGUAUUCCAAUCACAGCUGUUGCCAGUGUUUCCCACCAUUGCUGUAUACUCUUAGUAAAUGGUAGUUGUUAAAAAUAUAAAAUAGGUUUGCUUCAUGAGAAGAAGAAGAAAGUACUUUCUCUUGUAAAGUUCCUUUAAGUAUUGGCAUAGUAAGUGUUCCUUUUCUCAUUGAUACCAUAGUUUUUUACUGUGUUUUGUUUUGCUUUCUUCAGAUUUUAAAGGAAAAAUAAGGUAAUGUUGCUGAUUUUCAGAAAUAUUUUCAGCUUCAGAUAUCUGUGAUAAAAAUGAGAAAAAAGAAGUGGAUCUUCUGUCAGAAGGUAUUGGUGAGAUAGGAGACCCAGAAUAGGAAGAAAACUUAGAUGGGAGAAGCAACUUAGAUGGAGAGCAACUUAGACGGGAGAAGUGAUGAACAUGCGUGAGAAAAAAAGUGACUCUGCUCCCUUUGUGAUCCGGGCGAACAUGACUAACUGAUCCAGGAAUUUGUUUCAUUUGGUCAUGAAUGGGCUUUGCAAAUCCUUCCUAAUGACAUGACAGUGUCAUCUAUUGGCAAAGCAGGACCCUAUGAGGCAUCUAAAGGGAGAUUUGGCCAGAUAUGUUGUUUAUCAGAAGCCAGGUACUUCCUCCACUUUUCAUCCUCCCUACUGAAAUGAUUUUUUUCAGGUCAGUAAUUUAAUAAACAUACCUACUUUGUGCUUAGCACUCUACUCAGAGCUUUUAUAUACAUUAUUUCAUUCUACAUUCACCAAAGUGUAAAGAGAUAGGUGCAUUUCCAUUUUCUAGAUGAGGCUCAGAGAGGUAAAACAAUUUGAACAGGCAGAAAGUUGUAGAAUUAAUUAAGAAUGAUACAUGUUAGACUCCAGAAAGCAUGCUCUUUACCUCUGUAAUUUUACCUCUGUAAUAGAUCAUUCUGUCUCUUCAGUUUAAAUGCAAGGGACAUUAUUACCUCUCUAGAAUUUUACUCAAUUCUAUUGUCUUUCUCCUAAUUUACUUCUUAACUACCUAAUUCUUGAAACAGAUUAGAAGCAGAUAGUAGUGUCCUUAUUUUCUUCUAGGUAUGUCUUUGCAUUAUUAAAGUGUAUCUCAUUCUUUAGAUUGCCUAGUCUUAAAAUCCAGGUGGCUAAGUUAAUUCAAGCAAUUAAUUGAGAGGUAAAAUACUAUAAAACUGAUUGACUAGCAUGACAAGACUCCAUAUAAAAGUAGAUGUAUUUUUUCAUCCAUCUAUUACCUAUUUCUUAACAUUUUCUAGAAAAUUAAGCAGCUACAAUAUACAAAAAUAGAAGAUAGUGUAAAUGUAAAUUAAAAGAUGUAAUAAAGAAUCUACUUUUACCAGGUGUAGUCCCAGCUACUUGGAAGGCUGAGGCAAGAGGAUCACUUGAGAAGAGAAGUUCAAGGCUGUAGUGCACCAUGAUUGCCCCUUGUGAAUAGCCACUGAACUCCAGCCUGAGCAACAGAGUGAGAUCUCAUCUGUAAACAAACAAAACUGCUCCUGAAUUUCAAUGUCAAUUUAUUGUAGAAAUCUUAAAAACUUAAUCAUCCUAAAAUAAUGCUGUUUUUAGGGGCAACACAUAAUUGUGUAUAAUUUCAUGUUUCUUUUGAAGUGAUAAAAAUAAUUGAAACAGUUAUUAAAGAAUAAAGACAUUGUGACAAAGAAAUGACUGGGAACCACAUAAAACAAGAUAUUUUGUAUUUUCAAAUAAUGCUGAUUUUUAGGGCUAACAAGAUUCAGUAGUAGCUUAAUAAACAUACAUACAUUAAGAAAUGCCCUUUGUGAAUUCAAUUUUAUGAUGUUCAAGUACAAAAAGUAUUCAUCCACUGAGACUUUGAACUGUGAAAUGGUCAAUGAAGAGGUAAGCGGCACUUAACUUGAAGCUAAUGUCUCAUGAAAUUGUUCGAACUUCACUCCUUGGUCAUAAGGUUUUCCAGAUUCAGAGCAAGGUAGCCAUACGGCAUUGAUAUUCGAAAUACAAAGCCAAGUAUCGGUUUUAAAAACAGUAUUAUUGAUUUUUUUCUUCUUUUCCAAUUUUCUCUUUUUGAAAUUGUGCUGCUACAAAUUUGAAUUUUAAAAUGUCUUAUUUUUCAAAUUUGUAUUGUUUCAUCUAUUGAAUGGUUUUUACUUUAAGGAAGUUCACAAAGUUUUUAUGUUCUCAGCCAUUCUUUUUUAUAGAAAAUAUCUUAAAAACUGAAAAGGCUCUGAAAGGCUCAGGUGAACGAAAAUAGAAAAAAGAGUAUCUAUCUCACUCUUCUUUUUAAUGCUUCCCUUAGAAAUACAUUGGAAAGAAAACUGUUUAGGUGGUACAAGGCUUCUCCCUGGUUUCAUUUUUCUUGCUUGUAUAGACAAUUAAUUAUUUGUGACAGCAUUAUUUUUACUUUGGAGCCCUGAUUUCCCUCAAUUAUUGGUAUGAUGGAGCUCAGACCUGUGUUUCAGAGUUAAAUAAAUAUUCUUCUAAGAAUUUCCACGUUAUAAAACUCCCCAACCAGCACUAAACUGUACACAUAAAAAUUGUAAAGAUGGUAAAUUAUAUAUGCAUAUUGUACCUUAAUAAAAAAUAAAGAUUUUUUUAAAAAAACAAAUACCUCCUCCCCCACCAAAAAAAAUUUCUUACCCCAUCCACGUACCAGUCACUAGACUCUAACAGUUCAGAAUUCAACUGGUGUCCAAAAGGUUAACAUCAUUACCAAGGUUAAGGAACCAAAUCGGUAUCAUACACUGGGGCCAUGGGGAAGCUUUUGGAACUAGGAUUUCUGAGAUCUUUUUACCAUAUACAGCAGGGAAAUCUUUGUAAAAAGGAGGAAAUUGGUAUAAUAUAUUCUGCUGCUGGCACAAAAAGUAUUUACCAAAGUAAAGUAUCCUGUAGUUCAAAAAUGUUAUCACAAGAUUCCAUUUGUGUAUCUAUUUAAAGUUUUGGUAUAUUUUCAAUAAAAAUUAAUAAAAAUAGUUCUUUUCAUAAUAUGUGGUUUAAAUCCAGAUUAUUUCACUGUAAUAUGUCUUGAUAGAGGUUUAGAAUAUUGAAAUAGGGUAUUAAGAUGCUUUAAAUCGAUUACUGAUUUGAACAU
Long non-coding RNA from Pongo pygmaeus (Bornean orangutan), 3848 nucleotides. RefSeq lists it as uncharacterized. The transcript has 8 exons. The record is from RefSeq and is a predicted model, not a curated record. Lineage: Eukaryota; Metazoa; Chordata; Mammalia; Primates; Hominidae.